Molecule: transfer RNA, 79 nt
Filed under: Wolfiporia cocos MD-104 SS10
Lineage: Eukaryota; Fungi; Basidiomycota; Agaricomycetes; Polyporales; Phaeolaceae
Description: Wolfiporia cocos (strain MD-104) (brown rot fungus) tRNA
Rfam family: tRNA
About the family: Transfer RNA (tRNA) molecules are approximately 80 nucleotides in length. Their secondary structure includes four short double-helical elements and three loops (D, anti-codon, and T loops).
Source: Rfam by way of RNAcentral
ACACUGAUGGUGAAACGGUAUCAUGCUUGCCUUCCACCUCUGAUAGCAAGCGGCGUGGGUUCGACUCCCGCUCAGUGUA